Molecule: long non-coding RNA, 870 nt
Organism: Chiroxiphia lanceolata (lance-tailed manakin)
Lineage: Eukaryota; Metazoa; Chordata; Aves; Passeriformes; Pipridae
Exons: 8
Source: RefSeq, a predicted model, not a curated record
GUCACAGCCGGUCGGAGCCCCAUCCGCCGGUGAUGUAAAGCCGGGGAUGUUGUGCAGCCCCCGCUGACAGAGCCAUCCCAUUCCGCAGCCUGGCUGUAAGCCCUCCAUAUGGCCAUGUGAUUGCUGCUGCUGCUGCUUCACGUGAUCCAGCUUUCUGGCACAAAGGCUCGGAGCUCGUACAGAUGAUUGUUAAACAUCAUGAGACUCUGCAAGUGAAUCUCUUGAAGAAAAGCUUGAAAGCCUCGAUGCUGAAGAUCUCAUGUCUCAUCUGUCACGACCAGAAACCUACCUAGAUGAGGAGAAAAGAUCAAGGAAGUAAAACUGACCAAACUACGGGACUGACAAGGUUAAGUAUUGUGUUGCUCUAGGGGAAGGAAGGUGUUAGAGAUGCUGCAGAGCCUCAGACAGAUAUUGGUGCUGGGAAGGAGAAUGCUACACAGAAGACAUUGCCAUGAGUUGAUAAAGCGAGGAGUCUGGGACAAACCACGUGAGACAGAGAGAUGUGGACUGGGAGGGCUAGGCAACUCUUUAACCAGCAGAUUUCAGAUUUUUACAUACUGGCUGGAAAGGAUCUGAGAUUCUACCAGGUAUACCACCAGCUUGGCAGCACAGGAGAAGAAAUGGUUAUGGGCUCUGCUCGUAAGGAAGAGACUACUUCAUUUGGAAAUGCUGUAGGUUAGUGCUUCAUUCUGCAAUUUACAGCCAAUGACUGAGCAGAAAGCUUUUAUAUCCCAAGAAGCUUUAAAAUAAAGCAGUUUCAGUUGUAUCAGGUUCCCGCUCAAGUUCAUGUGACAGUACUUAGGCUGCCUGUCUUGGUGACAGUAUGAAUUUAUACAGAGACAGAAGCAAUCAGAUCAUAUAGUUUUCAAG